Molecule: ribosomal RNA, 504 nt
Filed under: uncultured Glomus
Lineage: Eukaryota; Fungi; Glomeromycota; Glomeromycetes; Glomerales; Glomeraceae
Description: SSU rRNA
Rfam family: Eukaryotic small subunit ribosomal RNA
Source: RNAcentral
AGCAGCCGCGGUAAUUCCAGCUCCAAUAGCGUAUAUUAAAGUUGUUGCAGUUAAAAAGCUCGUAGUUGAAUUUCGGGAUCAGUAUGUUGGUCGUGCUUCGGUACGUACUGUCAUUACUGGUUUCUACCUUCUGAAGAACCUUGAUGUCAUUAAUUUGGUGUCUUGGGGAAUCAGGACUGUUACUUUGAAAAAUUAGAGUGUUUAAAGCAAGCAUACGCUUGAAUACAUUAGCAUGGAAUAAUGAAAUAGGACGUUUGAUUCUAUUUUGUUGGUUUCUAGGAUCGACGUAAUGAUUAAUAGGGAUAGUUGGGGGCAUUAGUAUUCAAUUGUCAGAGGUGAAAUUCUUGGAUUUAUUGAAGACUAACUACUGCGAAAGCAUUUGCCAAGGAUGUUUUCAUUAAUCAAGAACGAAAGUUAGGGGAUCGAAGACGAUCAGAUACCGUCGUAGUCUUAACCAUAAACUAUGCCGACUAGGGAUCGGAUGAUGUUAUUUUAAUGACUCAU